Molecule: transfer RNA, 70 nt
Filed under: Haliotis scalaris (staircase abalone)
Lineage: Eukaryota; Metazoa; Mollusca; Gastropoda; Lepetellida; Haliotidae
Description: tRNA-Ile
Source: RNAcentral
GGUAAUGUGCCGGAUAAAACGGGAUGCGUUGAUGACGCAUAAUAUGAGAUAACUUCACUCUCCAUUACCU